Molecule: small nucleolar RNA, 121 nt
Filed under: Jaculus jaculus (lesser Egyptian jerboa)
Lineage: Eukaryota; Metazoa; Chordata; Mammalia; Rodentia; Dipodidae
Source: RNAcentral
CCAAGCAUUAGGAGGACAUUGCCAAUGACCCACUGAGCUGUCCAGAAGGGGCAGAGUGAAAACCUACUUUUGGGUGAAGGGCAGAAGGUUCUGUCUUGCCUCGAUGGGUGGUAUGACAAGA